Molecule: long non-coding RNA, 528 nt
Filed under: Salmo salar (Atlantic salmon)
Lineage: Eukaryota; Metazoa; Chordata; Actinopteri; Salmoniformes; Salmonidae
Description: lncRNA (ENSSSAG00000100532.1)
Source: RNAcentral
AGCAAACAGACUCUGAUGUUAAACGUGGGUUGACUUUCACUUCAUUCUCUUUCUCUGUAGCCUGGUUUUGUGAACUUACUGGACUACCCAGAACCGGACGUGUGCCUAAGGACGUCCAAAUUCAAUAAAAUCUAACAGAAUACGUGAUCAUUGGCUGGACAAUCCUGGACUUUGACAGACUGGCGGUUAAGAAAAGACAUGGCUCAGCUGUGUCUGCACAAGAGGAACAUUACCACCCCCUGUUACUAAAUAUGAUUUGUGAAGGAAGCUGAGCCAAGUGCCUCCCGUCCAGGGUUUUCUUCAUCGUCUAGUCCCGUGAAGAAUCAUCAAGACAGUCAGUACGUACUUUGGAGCAUCUCAGGGGAUCUGGUUAUUGUCUGGAACAUUAGAGGAGAGAACAAUAUGAGCCCUCAACAUGAAAGCAGUCUUUGACUUUAACACGAUCAAAUAAAUGAUUCUAAUUAUUCAUUAGAGGAAACAGCUGCCUGCAUUUUAUUUUGUAAGUUUGUCUAAAAGUGGACAACACCC